RNAcentral lists this ribosomal RNA (253 nucleotides) under uncultured bacterium. RNAcentral describes it as "partial 16S ribosomal RNA". It matches the Rfam family "Bacterial small subunit ribosomal RNA", at positions 524 to 776 of the family's 1533-position model. The record is from RNAcentral.
GACGAGGGGUCCAAGCGUUGUUCGGAAUCAUUGGGCGUAAAGCGGGUGUAGGCGGCUCUAUAAGUCAGGAGUGAAAGCCCCGAGCUUAACUUGGGAAGUGCUUUUGAUACUGCAGAGCUUGAAUGUGGGAGAGGUUAAUGGAAUUCCAGGUGUAGUGGUGAAAUACGUAGAUAUCGUGAGGAAGACCAGUGGCGAAGGCGGGUCUCUGGACAGUUCCUGACGCUGAGGCGCGAAGGCCAGGGGAGCAAACGGG